This is an RNA transcript of Prunus dulcis (almond), 1085 nucleotides long. It is a transcript of the gene named UDP-glucose flavonoid 3-O-glucosyltransferase 7-like, with no coding region annotated. NCBI's taxonomy places the organism in Eukaryota, Viridiplantae, Streptophyta, Magnoliopsida, Rosales, Rosaceae. The transcript has a single exon. The record is from RefSeq and is a predicted model, not a curated record.
UUCCCAGUUGAGAUCAAGAUGACACGAACCCAAAUACCGAGAUUUUUUGAGAAAAAUUCUGAAUCAAUAAUGACCAAAUUAUUCAAAGAAUCCAGAGAGAGUGAGGAAAGGAGCUAUGGGAUUAUUGUUAAUAGUUUCUAUGAACUUGAGCCAGAUUUUGCAGAUCAUUACAGGAAUGUUUUUGGGAGGAAGGCAUGGCAUAUAGGCCCAGUUUCACUAUGCAACAAGGCAGCAGAGGAUAAAACAGAGAUUAGGGGAAUGGAAGCCUCCCUUGAUGAACAUGAGUGCUUGAAUUGGCUAAACUCUAAGAAACCCAAUUCAAUUGUUUACAUAUGUUUUGGAAGCCAGACCAAUUUUGCUGAUGUUGAGCUGCUAGAAAUUGCAUUGGGGCUUGAGGCUUCUGGGCAGGAAUUCAUUUGGGUUGUGAAGAAAGAAAAGAAAGAAAAAGAUGAGUGGUUGCCUUAAGGGUUUGAAAGUAGAGUGGAAGGUAAGGGACUCAUUAUAAGAGGUUGGGCUCCACAAGUGCUGAUUCUUGAGCAUCAAGCAAUUGGAGCCUUGGUGACUCACUGUGGGUGGAACUCUAUCCGUGAAGAAGUGUCUUCUGGGGUGCCAAUGAUCACGUGGCCGGUGUCCGCCGAGCAGUUUUACAAUGAGAAGUUGGUGACUGAUAUACAUAGAACUGGGGUUGCUGUUGGUUCUAAACAGUGGGCUUCAUUUGUAGAUGUGAAGAAGGAAGCCAGUGUGAAGAGGGAAGCCAUAGAGAAGGCUGUGACUCUAGUCAUGGUGGGUGAUACAGCAGAGGAAAUGAGAGGCAGAGCCAGGACACUAGGAGAGAUGGCAAAGAGGGCUGUUGAAGAAGGUGGCUCAUCAUUCUCAGAUUUAACUGCUCUAAUUGAAGAGUUGAUCCCUUGGAGCUUAAAGCUUUAGCCAAAAUACCAGCAUUUGUUUAAGUAAGUAAGAAUUGUUUGUUCAAAGUUUAGAACAAGCCUAGAGCCUUAGAUUGUAGUUUCUUUCUGUGAGUAUCUUCAGCAUAUCUUAGACAAGUUGUUGAUCCUAUUUUCUUUUUGAUAAAAUAUUCUCAUAUG